CGCGGGUUCGUCUAAUCUGGUAGGAUGCAAGGCUCAUAACCUUGAGAUGGCGUUCAACUCGCCAACCCGCAACCA
RNAcentral lists this transfer RNA (75 nucleotides) under Nitrospirota bacterium. RNAcentral describes it as "Nitrospirae bacterium (sediment metagenome) tRNA-Met". It matches the Rfam family "tRNA". From Rfam's summary of the family: Transfer RNA (tRNA) molecules are approximately 80 nucleotides in length. Their secondary structure includes four short double-helical elements and three loops (D, anti-codon, and T loops). Further hydrogen bonds mediate the characteristic L-shaped molecular structure. tRNAs have two regions of fundamental functional importance: the anti-codon, which is responsible for specific mRNA codon recognition, and the 3' end, to which the tRNAs corresponding amino acid is attached (by aminoacyl-tRNA synthetases). tRNAs cope with the degeneracy of the genetic code in two manners: having more than one tRNA (with a specific anti-codon) for a particular amino acid; and 'wobble' base-pairing, i.e. permitting non-standard base-pairing at the 3rd anti-codon position. The record is from RNAcentral. Lineage: Bacteria; Pseudomonadati; Nitrospirota.